This is a long non-coding RNA of Fundulus heteroclitus (mummichog), 325 nucleotides long. RefSeq lists it as uncharacterized. The transcript has 3 exons. The record is from RefSeq and is a predicted model, not a curated record. Lineage: Eukaryota; Metazoa; Chordata; Actinopteri; Cyprinodontiformes; Fundulidae.
UUCGAAGAAGAAUGUUUUGAACAUGACAUGAGAGUGAGGAUUUUCGGUCACAGCAGUGUCAGAAAUUGGUGGGAGGACUGUGGAUGAGGCCACGAGAUGUAUGAUGUUCUUCAUCAUGGACUAUGGCCUGUCAAGGCAGUACAACUUUGUGGGCUGGAAUGGAAAGUAGGAAUUCAGGACUUUAAAUCUGUUUGAAGUCAUAUUUGAUUUUGGACCAUUUCUCUCCUUUCUCUUUCAUACUUCCUACAGUAUACCAUAACGUGUUCAACUGUCUCUUGUUGCUCACAAUAUUCACAUCUGCCAUUGUUAUGUUUACCUAUUUAGA